GAAUAUAACGGUUCUCGUUAGAUCACCGAAGUCAAGCAUCAUUGGGCGCGGUCAGUACUUGGGUGGGUGACCACCUGGGAACACCGCGUGCCGUUG
This 96-nucleotide ribosomal RNA is filed under the name Caerostris darwini. Lineage: Eukaryota; Metazoa; Arthropoda; Arachnida; Araneae; Araneidae. The record is from RNAcentral.